AUGAAGAACGCAGCGAAAUGCGAAAAGUAAUGUGAAUUGCAGAAUUCAGUGAAUCAUCGAAUCUUUGAACGCACAUUGCGCCCGCUGGUACUCCGGCGGGCACGCCUGUCCGAGCGUCAUUUCAACCCUCAAGCCCUCCUUCGGGAUGGGCCUGGUGUUGGGGCUCGGCCGCCAUCUCCGGCGGCCGUCCCCUAAAUACAGUGGCGGUCACGUCGCGACUCCUUUGCGUAGUAGAAACACCUCGCUCCGGAUAGCAACGCGGUCCACGCCGUAAAACCCCCAAUUUUCAAUGGUUGACCUCGGAUCAGGUGGGAAUACCCGCUGAACUUAAGCAUAUCAAUAAGCGGAGGA
Molecule: unclassified non-coding RNA, 351 nt
Filed under: soil metagenome
Description: partial contains 5.8S ribosomal RNA, internal transcribed spacer 2, and large subunit ribosomal RNA
Rfam family: 5.8S ribosomal RNA (bases 1-119)
Source: RNAcentral